UCCCUAGUGGCUCAGACGGUAAAGCGUCUGCCUGCAAUGCGGAAGACCCAGGUUUGACCCCUGGGUUGGGAA
Molecule: transfer RNA, 72 nt
Filed under: Ovis aries (sheep)
Lineage: Eukaryota; Metazoa; Chordata; Mammalia; Artiodactyla; Bovidae
Rfam family: tRNA
About the family: Transfer RNA (tRNA) molecules are approximately 80 nucleotides in length. Their secondary structure includes four short double-helical elements and three loops (D, anti-codon, and T loops).
Source: Rfam by way of RNAcentral